Molecule: long non-coding RNA, 1828 nt
Organism: Carassius gibelio (silver crucian carp)
Lineage: Eukaryota; Metazoa; Chordata; Actinopteri; Cypriniformes; Cyprinidae
Exons: 2
Source: RefSeq, a predicted model, not a curated record
GCGAGAGGCUGAACAUUCCUGCCAAAUGAGCACUGCUGCUCUGACAAACGCCAUGUCACGAUAGCGACAUACCUCUUUCUCUCUCUCACACGCACGCUCUCUCCCUCUACAUAAAUAACAGCCAUUUCUGUCUGAAACCAGCCCUGGAGGACUCAGCCCUUGGGGCAAUGUCAAAUCCCCAUGGUUACUACAAUGCAGAAACUGCCUCUUUCCUGUGAUGAUGAUGAUGAUGAUGAUGAUGAUGAUGAUGCUGAUGAUGAUGCUCAUGAGAUGAAAAGGAAACAGACCAUCCAGCUUAGUUUGUUGGAAGAACCAACAUGUGACAAUCCUCUCCCAAACCUGUUGUUUAAAAAAACAAGAUCAUCUGAUUUCUAUUUUGUGAGUCUUUACGCAAAAUGUUCAAUCUGUAAAUCAAACCUUCAGCAUGAUGCUCAAGUGAUCUGUUCAAUGAUUAAAUGCUCUCACUGCACCACUGCCUUCAGCAGCCAUUCAACUAGUACUGCAGUUUAUGAUUCUUCUUACCUUUGACUUGAGUCUCGUACUCAGUAAUGAUCUCUUUAUCCUUUUUGAACUUCACUGGAGGAUUCGACAUUUUCAACAGCGAUUCGAGUUCAGUUCCGAGAAUGUUUGUAAACUGGUUUGUUUUGGGGGCUGUUCCGAUUUCCAGAUCUCCCUACAGCGGCCAGUGCAUCCCAGAGAUUUUUCAAGUUGUUCAGGCUAAAAAAAAAAACCCAAAAGCCAAACGCCGCAAAUGUUCCUCUCCCGAGUUCCCAACGCGAUUCCGCCGUCGGUGCGAUCAAAACACAGCGCGCACUGGAAGAGUUUCCUCCCAAACAAGUAACCCUUUCCUUGGGCAAAUGUCCACUGCUUGUUCCAGCAAAAGGCAAUCCGGUCCUUCAAACUGUCUUUUAGUCACCCGCCGACGGAUCUGGACAGACUGAGCAGCAUAAUGACUGGCGUGGUUUUCUGCACACUAUCCUCGUGUCCGUGGGUCUGCUCGCCGGACAGUUUCACGGAUCCUGACUGACCUCAAAGCAGCUGGAAAAGCAAGUGGUUGGAAAUGGGAGGGAUUGGAGGCGGAGGGGGUGCACGUAGCGGAAAUGUGGACCGGACUGACAACUUUUCUAACCACCAGUAAUUUUCUUUUGUAGUAGUUAACGUUACAGAGUAACGUUAGACACUUAAAAACAUAAGAUCUCUAUGCUUAUAAACAAAUCAAAACAGUUUAAAAAACUUAUUGUGAAAUGUGUUGUGUUUUAAAUAUUGAUAUAUAUACAAAUCGUUUUAUUAUAAAUCAUUCAAAAGUGUAUAUGAGUUGUAAUUAUAAUGUUUUAAAGUAAGCCAUUUGAAUAUUUUUAACGGUUUUUAAGAACUCGUUUUUAAGAACUGUGACGAACACGUCGUGUAGGACGCCUAGUGGCCAGUGUUUGGAAUUACAUGUAAAUAAAUCACUUGCCUCUGUGACUUUCUAAGAGAAGAAAUUCUGUUCCGGUUCAGUUGACGGCGAUCAUAAGAUAAUUUCAGAUUUUAUCAAAAAAUAUAUAUAACCAGUUGAAGCAGUGUCACACAGUCAGAGAACAAUUUAAUGCAAUUUGGACUUUUACUGUCUAUUCACAGAGAUUUUACAGGGGGAAAAAUGUCAUCCUUAAACUUCAUACAUAUUAAAUAAAAAUGUUAUUUAAUAUAAAAUAAAAUAAAAACAUGCAUUUAAAUUUAGUUUUAUUAGUUUUAGUUUUAUUUAUUUUUCUACUUUAUAAAAUACAAUAUAUAUAUAUAUAUAUAUAUAUAUAUAUAUAUAUAUAUAUAUAUAUAUAUAUAUAUAUAUAUA